This is a long non-coding RNA of Oxyura jamaicensis (ruddy duck), 1575 nucleotides long. RefSeq lists it as uncharacterized. Lineage: Eukaryota; Metazoa; Chordata; Aves; Anseriformes; Anatidae. The transcript is spliced from 3 exons. The record is from RefSeq and is a predicted model, not a curated record.
ACUGAUAAAGCCCCAGGAAGAAAUCUGGGGGGCUGGGCUGGGCUGAUGGGAUGGAGAGCCUGGGGAAAGGAGGCUGUAGAUUGCUCUGUAGCACUAUGAGUAAAUAGGUUUAUGAAAACAGCCAGUAGAAAAUCACUUUAAAGUACUUUUUCUCAGUAUCUGCUGUCUGAUAAUUUGUCUUCAGUGUUCCUCUUAUUUAGGCCUGUAAGUAGAUCGGUCACACAAGUUUCUGGAUUUCAGGUCCCUUGAGGAGAGAUAAUAGAAAAUACCCUCUCUGCUUUUAGUGCUGAAAGACGUAGCUUGUGAAGCUUUUGGAGCUAUGUGAAAUGGAGAUCUUACAGCAGCUGACAGCAUCCUUUUCUAAAGGACGAGACAUUUUAUGUUCAUUGCAGUUUUUAUUCACUUUUGAUUUUGGUUUUAGUUUGCGGUUCUUGAUCUUACUUUAUAACUUGUCACCCUUCUUCUGCUCAGACAUUUCCAAGUGUCUUGGACAUUUAUCUUUAUCUUAACUUCAUGUUAGGCUCUUGUCUCAUACUACCAGUGAGUGGUUGCACGACUACAGCUCUGUCCCCCAGCAUGGUGCAUCCCACACUGAAAUGUGCGCAAGUCCUGUGGGAUAAGGAAAUGUAGCUGAGCUGAGGAACAGCAAAUGCUGGCAGCAGUUCCAGCCCAGCUGGGAGUCGAGGGAAGCUGACGUCCCAUGGCCAGAAAUUGACCUUGAUGCUUUUCUUAAAUUAAGUGCACACUCACAUUUUCUUUGUGUGCAACUCAAAUGAUUCAUGAACUCAACUCCUGUCAAAGUUAAUUCAAUAUUGAAAUCGUGGAAUAGAAUAGAAACACUAGAAUGCUAAAUCAAUUGUUCCACACCUGCAGGUAGCCAGAUUUUAAAAGGAGAGUACAGUCUUUCAUUCAAAACUUGAAAUGCAGUGGUUCAGUAGUGAUUUGAUCCAUCUGAGUCUCUCUAUUUCCAGUCCCUCUGCCCUGUUGCUACCAAAACUUGAUUUUCUAAAAGAAUUCUCCCCUGUACCACUAUAUUCAGCAGUACAGGACUAUGACCUCCUCACACCUGGUGCCCCAUGGGCAGCAUCAAAAUGCUCUGUGCUCUAGGCCAGCUCCUGCCAUGACUGUCCAAGUGCAGGAAGAGGAAGACUAUGGGUUGCUAAUUCGGUCUCGACUCUGUGGAGACCCCAAUCUUUUCUAGAAUCAAAUGCCCUUAUGUAUCAGAAUAAGGAGCUAGCUCCUGCUGCGUUUGCUGCCCUAGACAAGGGCAGUAAUGCUUUUGUCCUCUGCCUCCAUGAGGACUCCAAGAGCCUCUCCCAGAGCUCACUGAAGCUGGGAAAAAGACUUCACUGAACUCUGGUUUGGGCCCUAAAAAUGUGCAUGGUUAGAAGGAAAUGGAGGUCUGAUUUAAAAAAAUCUCUGCACAGGAAUAAAUCUCUGCACAGGGAUGUUUUAAAGCAGUGGAGUUGAUGCCAGGUAAACAGGGGUUGAAGUGUGAAAGGUACCUCAUUUCCCUCUUAUGUCCAGCGGAGACACAAAAUGUGACUGGCUCUUUUCGUUCCUUCCUUCCGUGCU